CAACCGGAAUAACUAGCCGAAAGGUUAGCUAAUACUGGAUAGAGCGCAUCUUUCGUAAAGAUUGAUGCGGGAAAGGGUGGCGUAGUAAUACGCUAUUGUGCUGAGAUGAGCCUGCGUCUCAUUAGCUAGUUGGUAAGGUAACGGCUUACCAAGGCAACGAUGGGUAGCUGGUCUGAGAGGACGAUCAGCCACACUGGAACUGAAACACGGUCCAG
Molecule: ribosomal RNA, 215 nt
Filed under: uncultured bacterium
Lineage: Bacteria
Description: partial 16S ribosomal RNA
Rfam family: Bacterial small subunit ribosomal RNA
Source: RNAcentral